This 1065-nucleotide long non-coding RNA is filed under the name Mus musculus (house mouse). Its description in RNAcentral is "cDNA sequence BC107364". Lineage: Eukaryota; Metazoa; Chordata; Mammalia; Rodentia; Muridae. The record is from RNAcentral.
CGGUCUCUGCUCGCCUCAGAGGCUUCAGCCCGGCCUGUCGUCCCGCAGACGUGACUGGUGCCCGCCGCGUCGGGAGCCCCGCCGAGCGCACGCGCCUGGGCGUCAGCUGGAGCACCCACGGUGAGGUUGAGGGACUCAUUUCAAACCAUGCUGAGAAGGUUUGUGCUGGCAGCUAAGCCCAGGCUUGGUGGUGUGAGACUUCAAAACAGGAGCCGAGGAAAGGAGAAAUUCAACCCAGAAUUUGAGUUACUCGCCUGUCUAAACAGAAAACCGGACAACCAGACCGACUGCCCCAACCACCUGAAAUCCGCGUCCUUGACCCAAACAAAGACAGGACCUCACAGAAGCGAACUGCAGUGUCCCAAAGCGAACAGCAGAGGGAGACAGAGGUACAAGAAGCUCUGGAUCAGUUCUGCCACCAUGACACGUCGGGUUCUGUUUCACUGAUGGAUUUUUCUACUUGUUGUGGAUCAUGACUGCCUGUGCCUUGGUGUGCCGGGACUCUUUAGUCAUAUGCAGACAUUGUGAAGUUUUUCUCUACUGGUUAUCACGGUCCUGACUCUCGCCUCCAUCCUGGGAUUUGGCCUCAGACCCCUUUGGUGUGUGGGCACUAUCUGAAAGCAGUGAGCCAAGCCAUGGCUGGACUGCCUUAUUCCGUCUCACUUCCAGGGCUUCCCUGAUUCCCAGGGUCUGGCAACCUGGCAUCUCACGGGUUUUGUCUGCUUCUUGUCCUGUGUGGGGAAGGGAGAAUUCAUACAGGAGAUUACAUCAGGUUUCUGUUCUUCCCUUGAAAGGACAACAUAAAAUCCAUUUGUCUUCAUUUAAGGACCAGGAUUGAUUUAGAAAAGAAAGCCGUAAGACACCAGCUCCAGGAACAGACCAUAAAAUCCAGGAGCAAGGUCAUCAAACCCCCUCCCAAGAACAGCCUGGGGAUAACCACAAAAAUGGGAAAAUAUCUCAGGGUGAGCCAUCUGUGCUGGGCAGCCCUAUCCCAUCUCAUGGUUAAACAUUCAUGACAUAGGAAUACAGACCACUGACCACCUGUGACCACCUAGCACCCACCAA